RNAcentral lists this transfer RNA (69 nucleotides) under Marmota monax (woodchuck). RNAcentral describes it as "tRNA.Ala". Lineage: Eukaryota; Metazoa; Chordata; Mammalia; Rodentia; Sciuridae. The record is from RNAcentral.
GGUUGUAGCUCAGUGGUAGAGUGUUCCAGCCUGGCAUGUGCAAGGCCCUGGGUUCAAUCCUUAGAACCA